RNAcentral lists this transfer RNA (72 nucleotides) under Rhynchosporium secalis (leaf blotch of barley). Its description in RNAcentral is "tRNA-Lys". It matches the Rfam family "tRNA". Rfam says of the family: Transfer RNA (tRNA) molecules are approximately 80 nucleotides in length. Their secondary structure includes four short double-helical elements and three loops (D, anti-codon, and T loops). Lineage: Eukaryota; Fungi; Ascomycota; Leotiomycetes; Helotiales; Ploettnerulaceae. The record is from RNAcentral. RNAcentral also lists the same sequence under 3 other names.
GAGAUCUUAGUUUAAUGGUAAAAUACGAGAUUUUUAAUCUUUGUUAUAAGGGUUCGACCCCCUUAGGUCUUA